This 478-nucleotide ribosomal RNA is filed under the name uncultured bacterium. Its description in RNAcentral is "partial 16S ribosomal RNA". It matches the Rfam family "Bacterial small subunit ribosomal RNA", at positions 28 to 507 of the family's 1533-position model. The record is from RNAcentral.
GAUGAACGCUGGCGGCGUGCUUAACACAUGCAAGUCGAACGGGAAUUAUUUUAUUGAAACUUCGGUCGAUUUAAUUUAAUUCUAGUGGCGGACGGGUGAGUAACGCGUGGGUAACCUGCCUUAUACAGGGGGAUAACAGUCAGAAGUGGCUGCUAAUACCGCAUAAGCGCACAGAGCUGCAUGGCUCAGUGUGAAAAACUCCGGUGGUAUAAGAUGGACCCGCGUUGGAUUAGCUGGUUGGUGGGGUAACGGCCCACCAAGGCGACGAUCCAUAGCCGGCCUGAGAGGGUGAACGGCCACAUUGGGACUGAGACACGGCCCAGACUCCUACGGGAGGCAGCAGUGGGGAAUAUUGCACAAUGGGGGAAACCCUGAUGCAGCGACGCCGCGUGAAGGAAGAAGUAUCUCGGUAUGUAAACUUCUAUCAGCAGGGAAGAUAGUGACGGUACCUGACGAAGAAGCCCCGGCUAACUACGUG